This 4950-nucleotide ribosomal RNA is filed under the name Triticum aestivum (bread wheat). RNAcentral describes it as "partial small subunit ribosomal RNA". The record is from RNAcentral. Lineage: Eukaryota; Viridiplantae; Streptophyta; Magnoliopsida; Poales; Poaceae.
UCACUCGUCUGAGCGAGGGACGGCCGGCUCGCGAUAGAAUGGAAUGCGUGCGUCGGGAGGAGGCUAGCGCGCCCUGUUAGUUUCGGCCGGCUCGUGCUACCUCGCCCACACCCUGAGCCCCGCCGCCUACUCGGCCUCGUAGUCGGCGCCGUACCCCCGCCUCUUGACCCCGCAGCUGCUCCGCAAGGACGUGCCGCCGCCGCCCUCGUCCCGGCCGCGGCUGCUGCUGCUCCUCCGCGACGCCACCCGGCGGUAGCUCGCGGACGGGUGGAUGUCGGCGUACUCCUGGCGGUAUAAGAGCCGGCUCCGUGUCCCGUUCCCCGUCGUCGUCGUCAUGUUCCUCCACCUGCACGCCUCCGAGCUGCAGUCGCUGGCCGUGCUCAAGUAGCUCGCGCAGAAGGCGCAGCGGCUGCUCCUGUUGGUCGCGAAGGAGGUCUUCGACGCGCUGGCGUAGCUGUCCCACCCGUAGCUCGAGGGCUGCCACCUCCACGCCAAGCUCGCAGACUGCCACGUCCGCGCCACGGUGCACCCGUCGGCGCGCGACGGCUGCGACGAGUUGCGCCGCGCGUUGUAGCGCCUCCCGCGGGACCCCGAGGAGCCCCACGCCGACUCGGCCGUCCGCUGUGAGUGGUAGGAGUUCCUGUAGAGCCCGCGGCAGGCCGGGAGCUCCUACUGCGACGACGACCCGGGCGGCAGCAGCCCCUUCUGCUGGGACGACGACCGGGACCGGCCGUUCGACCUGGGCAGAGACCGCGCGCCGCCGCUCCACCGGAUGUUGCCCAAGGGCGACCUGCUCAAGCACGGCGUCUUCUGCCGCCGCAUGUAGUCGGUCUGCCUGCACGUGCAGCCGCUCUACUGGCAGUUCCUCUGCGAGCUGAAGAGCCGGUCCACGGUCCCGCAGCCGUGGUUCAUGCUAGAGGACUGGCUCGACCGCUCCUCCCUCUUCCUCCGGCCGUAGGCCGGCCUCGGCCUCCAACUGGAAAAAUACUUCCGGUGAAGCUACCUCCCUCACCUCUCGUCGGAGGUCUGCCUGAUGUGGGAGUCCUAUGACCCCGACCUGUAUACGCGCCUGUGGUAGCAGCCGCUGGUCUACGUCUCCCCGUAUAGGCCGCCGGUCUUCUUCGCGCAGUGGUGGCCUCUCUACUAACAGCCAGGCUGUUUCCACGAUAAGUACCUACUCUAUAGCUGACCCAAUCUGUCGAGGUGGUGGAAAGUCUAACAGUUUACAGACGUCGUCUAACACGUGAACCCGCUCCGGUGGUAGGAGUACAGGGAGGAGGUCGGUCGGGGACUCUGGAAACUUGAGAAACUACUGUAGUAGGAUGACAGUCUUCCGGUCUAACAAAUAGUCCCUGGGGCACUAACACAGGAACUUAAGAAACUCAGGACACCGAAAGCGACGGGUCUCGCGUUCCCGUGACGUCUGAAAGAAGUUCUCCACUGUAGUUUCUUCCUAGUCCUCGUCAUGACCCGACUGUUCGUCUCUGGCAUGGCUAUACAAAGUCAGAGUCUUAAACGCGUCUGCAAAUUUGCCAAAGUACAACCUGAUGUUGAGCUCUUGGUAGAGAGUCACGGUAAACUGUUCUCGGCGUCGGUAGUCCGACGGGACCAUAAGAGGUUCGUGAGCCAUAGUUGAGCUCUCGAGGAGUUCCGUAGGAAACUGUUCCUCACCGAGGAGUAUUUCGCGUUGAGUAAACAUAUGUAGAAGUUCUGGUAUGUCGAGUAAUAACAUCGGGAAUAGCGCAGUUGUCAGAAAGAUUCCUGAGUCUACGUGUGUUCCUUAGACCUACUACCAAAACAGAUGCACCCUCGUGACGAAAAAUGAGACUAACACUUGUACAAGUUACCAAAACGGCUCGAGGGAAACUGGUAGUGUUCCAACGGCCACAAGAAGUUCGUGGCCCUGGAGGAGAAGAUGGGACGAACCUAUAAGUGUGAUGGCUUACAGCAAGAGUCUUAGGGUAAAAGUUACUAGCUUAGGUAUCAUACCCACCAACAGUGUAUGAUGUGAUACCCUAAACGGGGUCUUCGACUGUCUAAGAAGUUCGUCAACGAGGAACACAAGAACUAGGUCGUCUACCGACCACCCGAAAAGUCUCGUUAACGACCGGAAACAUCUAGGUACUAGUAACGAGUUUGGCCUCCUCGGGACAAGGAAGAGUAGAAGAAACAGGAACCUCCUAAAGAAGACGGUUUUCUGAAGUAGGGUUUUACCACCUAGACCCCGAUAACCUAAAGUGGCGACCACAUACCUAUAUUACGAGAUCGUCACUUACUUAAGAUAAGAGGAGCCACCUACCUGUUCAAACAUUACCUGUUCUUACCACAAGGAUUUUCUGAUCCAUACCGAUACGAACUUCCGCGGUUGUAAAAAUGACUGUUUUUGACCAAGACCUAACCUCGUCGUCCCGACAAUCCAAAGUGUUAGAAGAAGUUACACGAGAAAUGAAACACGGAGUGCAUAGACCUAGGGAACCCGUUUGGUGUUCGACAAUAUAGACUUCUUUGACGUUUCCUUCGUCUUCUGUUACCCGAAGGCUCUCUCUGUCAUUCGUUACCGUCGUGUUCUUCUUUACCGUCGUACUUUAGCUUCCUACCCAGGUUAUUGUUCCUUUACUCUCUCUACUCUGACUCACGAGCAAACUCGUUAUCAAGUAGUUUACCUUAAAGAUUACCCUAAAGUGCUCAGUACAGGCAACCGUCGUUACUUCGACGAGGUUCUUCUCCUUACCAAGAAGGUAAGAGGGGAGAUAGAUACACAAAACUACUACACUUGAUGAUACAGCUGUACGGACGUCUUUACUUUGUCGUUCCUCACUGACUACUAUCCGAGGUUAACAAUGCACUACAAUGACCUAGUAAAUCUGGACCUCACGAUUGUCGUGAGUACCCUCAGUCACCUCGUCCUUUCUGGUGAGAAUACCUACAAAAUCGACCUUCUUUCUGACCACCAAUGUAACUUCCUCUAUAGUCUUAAAGACCAAUAGGCUUCUUGGUUCGUUGUAAACGUUCCUAAAGACCGAUAACACUCGUUUUACUAUAGGUAAGUGGAGUCCAGUGCUAAUCCCUUAGAGACUAUAUGAGGCGGAAGGACGCAGAAGGACUUUUCUAGCCUCUAGUUCUAUAGUGACUACUUUAGUUCUAAGUUAAACAACUACUUCAAUACCUCAAUCACCUCGAGCUGUUAGACUUCCUACGAAAUCAACCUGACGGUCCUUAAAGUCCAGAAAGUUGUCUCGUUUCUUUCUCCAAUUGUUAUCGACACCUCGAACAGCGUUUAGGUAGCUAGUAGAAGUACCUACUUGGCUGUAGUCCAGAACUACGUUCUCGUCGUCGUUAACAGUACUCUUGUCACUCCUUGUGACAACUGUGACCUGCCUGUCACCAAACGUGUUAGGUGGUCGGUUCGUAACUGUAGAAACUUCGAAAACUACUCAAUGAUAAUGACUUUUCUCCUCCGGUCCAUUAUAUGAGACCCUUUGACCCAGCGUUGAGUGUCUUUUACUGACUUAUGAAGCUCCGCUAAGGACCUCACGGAUUUUAGUUUCUAUUCAUGUUGGGACGUUGCACCUACGAACUCCAGUCAAGUCAACGACGUCUUCAUGCGGACUCAUACCUAAAACGACUGAUGAUGUCCUGAAGUCUAGACAUGUUCGUUUUGUUCCAUAACCACUCGGUCGAUUCAGCUGGUCUUGGUCCUUGUAGUCUAGACAUAAAAGGAUGUCUUAUGAGCGUUAGGUAAUAUCCCGUCAAGUUUCGGACGGAGACCUUCGUAACCGACUGGAUAACCGCGUCGGGUCUAAUGUUGGAACAGUCUAAAAGGAAGUGAAACAAGUGUCGGAACGACGACCCGAGGUAGAAAACCUUCUAACCGUGGUUAUACCCCCUACGGUUAUGAGAAUCUUACCAGUAACCUCGUUACAUGUGUCGUCACUACAAACAGCCGUAGUUGUUGACACGUUGGCAAGUUGGUUAACAAAGUUAGCUCUCUUGUCAAAAGAUGGCUCUCUCCCGACGACCCUACAUGAGACGUGACGGUAUACGGUAACGAGUCCAACAGUACCUCUAUGGAAUACAGAAGCAGGUUUGGAGCAUAAUGUGGGAGUAGCAUAUGCGGUACUACUCGAAGGUCACCUGUCGACAGUUCAAGAAGACCAAGAAGAAGCAGAGGAUGAAAAGGAAGGAGAUGAAGUGGAUGAUGCCCUACUACUGACAUAGUUAGAGUGGUUUGGUACUCCAACGUCCGUAGAAGCGGCGUCGAAAGAUAAGGGAUAAGUUGGAAAAGAGACCGAAGAAGUAGGGUUCUGGCUUUUAGGGGUUUACCACCUAGACCAUGAUGACCUAAACGGGUAACCGUACCUGUCACAUACCCGAGUAUCACUGUGUUAUGCCUCUGUACCUUCUGUAGUAGUGGCAGGGUCCGGUUAGAUUGGUCUGUUAGUCGAUGAUGUAUUGUGUAGUAAAACCUAUGGUGUCCUCGAAGUACCGCCAGCAACGUGGCCACGAACACGAGAAACGUCACAAGAAGCGAAAGUACAUACGAGAGACGGAGUUCUUCAACUUGAAAGUUUGUGCCAUCCUCGCCUUUCGGUUGUCUGUUCUAGAGUGUCCGUUAUACCAGCUAAAAAGAACUAGGUUGAGAAGAAAACAGGAAGGUAAAAACCCAGAUAAAUACACGGUCACAUUUAUGUCCACAUCAAAAAACCUAAGGAAUGUAUCAGUUUAUGCUACUCCCACGUGGUCGGAAAGUCCGAACCUUCACAUAACGUAACGUUUAAACGUUCUGACGCUACUCGUCUUAAACAAGUACCGGAUAUUUAUGUAACCUCAAAAAAGAAAGUGUUCAAGUGUUGGCUAAAACAGAUCGUCAUUCCUAUCGUCGGAAACCCGAAAGAUUUACCACUUAUAAAAGAAGAAAAAAGACAAUGGUGUUACCUUCAAAUUUAAAAC